Phyllostomus discolor (pale spear-nosed bat) is the source of this 102-nucleotide small nuclear RNA. NCBI's taxonomy places the organism in Eukaryota, Metazoa, Chordata, Mammalia, Chiroptera, Phyllostomidae. The record is from RefSeq and is a predicted model, not a curated record.
CUUACUACAGUAGCACAUACUAAAACUGGAACAAUACAGAGAAGGUUAGCAUGGCACUUAGGCAAGAAUGAUAUACAAAUUUGAGAAGUGUUUCAUAUUUUU